Molecule: ribosomal RNA, 319 nt
Filed under: uncultured eukaryote
Lineage: Eukaryota
Description: partial 18S ribosomal RNA
Rfam family: Eukaryotic small subunit ribosomal RNA
Source: RNAcentral
CCCUUAGAUGUUCUGGGCAGCACGCGCGCUACAAUGGUCUUCGCAAACGGAUGCAUUCUCGAAGGAGAAUGCCAAUCUUGGAAUCUAUGCCUUGGUCGGGACAGUUGCUUGCAAUUUUUCGACUCGAACCAGGAAUUCCUUGUAAUCGUGAUUCAUCACAUCACGAUGAAUACGUCCCUGCCCUUUGUACACACCGCCCGUCGCUCCUACCGAUCGAACAGUUAGGUGAAUUGUUUUGAUCGAUAAGAUUUGACUAUGGUCAACUCUCGUUGGGAAAUUCUGUGAAUCUGACUGUUUAGAGGAAGGAAAAGUCGUAACA